AUUGAACGCUGGCGGAAUGCUUUACGCAUGCAAGUCGAACGAUGAACCUUAGCUUGCUAAGGGGAUUAGUGGCGAACGGGUGAGUAAUAUAUCGGAACGUACCUUGUAAUGGGGGAUAACUAGUCGAAAGAUUAGCUAAUACCGCAUACGCCCUGAGGGGGAAAGUAGGGGAUCUUCGGACCUUACGUUAUAAGAGCGGCCGAUAUCUGAUUAGCUAGUUGGUGGGGUAAUGGCCUACCAAGGCGACGAUCAGUAGCUGGUCUGAGAGGACGACCAGCCACACUGGAACUGAGACACGGUCCAGACUCCUACGGGAGGCAGCAGUGGGGAAUGUUGGACAAUGGGCGCAAGCCUGAUCCAGCCAUUCCGCGUGAGUGAAGAAGGCCUUCGGGUUGUAAAGCUCUUUCGCAAGGGAAGAAAACUUACAUUCUAAUAAAGUGUGAGGCUGACGGUACCUUGAUAAGAAGCACCGGCUAACUACGUGCCAGCCGCCGCAGUAA
RNAcentral lists this ribosomal RNA (500 nucleotides) under uncultured bacterium. Its description in RNAcentral is "partial 16S ribosomal RNA". It matches the Rfam family "Bacterial small subunit ribosomal RNA", at positions 30 to 523 of the family's 1533-position model. The record is from RNAcentral.